This 404-nucleotide ribosomal RNA is filed under the name uncultured bacterium. RNAcentral describes it as "partial 16S ribosomal RNA". It matches the Rfam family "Bacterial small subunit ribosomal RNA", at positions 28 to 526 of the family's 1533-position model. The record is from RNAcentral.
GAUGAACGUUGACAGAAUGCUUAACACAUGCAAGUCAACUGUGGCUGACGGGUGAGUAACGCGUAAAGAACUUGCCUCACAGCUAGGGACAACAUUUGGAAACGAAUGCUAACACCUGAUACUGUGGGAGCGCUUUGCGUCCCAUUAGCUAGUUGGAGAGGUAACGGCUCACCAAGGCGAUGAUGGGUAGCCGGCAUGCGAGGGUGAUCGGCCACAAGGGGACUGAGACCCGGCCCUUGUGCCAGCGGGAGGCAGCAGGGGAGAAUAGUGGAAAAUGGGCCAAAGUCUGAUGAAGCAAUUCGGUGUGCACUAUGAAGUUUUCGGAAUGAAAAGUGCUUUCAGUUGGGAAGCGGUACCAACAGAAGAAGUGCCGGCUAAAUCCGUGCCAGCAGCCGCGGUAAUAC